RNAcentral lists this ribosomal RNA (327 nucleotides) under uncultured bacterium. Its description in RNAcentral is "bacterial SSU rRNA". It matches the Rfam family "Bacterial small subunit ribosomal RNA", at positions 373 to 710 of the family's 1533-position model. The record is from RNAcentral.
GGGCGCAAGCCUGAUGCAGCGACGCCGCGUGAGGGAUGGAGGCCUUCGGGUUGUAAACCUCUUUUGUUUGGGAGCAAGCCUUCGGGUGAGUGUACCUUUCGAAUAAGCGCCGGCUAACUACGUGCCAGCAGCCGCGGUAAUACGUAGGGCGCAAGCGUUAUCCGGAUUUAUUGGGCGUAAAGGGCUCGUAGGCGACUCGUCGCGUCCGGUGUGAAAGUCCAUCGCUUAACGGUGGAUCUGCGCCGGGUACGGGCGGGCUGGAGUGCGGUAGGGGAGACUGGAAUUCCCGGUGUAACGGUGGAAUGUGUAGAUAUCGGGAAGAACACC